AUUGAACGCUGGCGGAAUGCUUUACACAUGCAAGUCGAACGGUAGAGGGGGCAACCCCUCGAGAGUGGCGAACGGGUGAGUAAUAUAUCGGAACGUGCCCAGUCGUGGGGGAUAACGUAGCGAAAGUUACGCUAAUACCGCAUACGAACUAAGGAUGAAAGCGGGGGAUCGCAAGACCUCGCGCGAUUGGAGCGGCCGAUAUCAGAUUAGGCAGUUGGUGGGGUAAAGGUUCACCAAGGCAACGAUCUGUAGCUUGUCUGAGAGGACGACCAGCCACACUGGAAAUGAGACACGGUCCAGACUCCUACGGGAGGCAGCAGUGGGGAAUUUUGGACAAUGGACGCAAGUCUGAUCCAGCCAUUCCGCGUGCAGGAUGAAGGCCCUCGGGUUGUAAACUGCUUUUGUACGGAACGAAAAGGUCUCUCUUAGUACGGGGGGCUCAUGAUGGUACCGUAAGAAUAAGCACCGGCUAACUACGUGCCAGCAGCCGCGGUAA
This 496-nucleotide ribosomal RNA is filed under the name uncultured bacterium. RNAcentral's name for it is "partial 16S ribosomal RNA". It matches the Rfam family "Bacterial small subunit ribosomal RNA", at positions 30 to 523 of the family's 1533-position model. The record is from RNAcentral.